This 258-nucleotide ribosomal RNA is filed under the name uncultured bacterium. RNAcentral's name for it is "partial 16S ribosomal RNA". It matches the Rfam family "Bacterial small subunit ribosomal RNA", at positions 15 to 283 of the family's 1533-position model. The record is from RNAcentral.
GUUCCUGGCUCAGAACGAACGCUGGCGGCAGGCUUAACACAUGCAAGUUGAACGGGAUUUGUGUGGUGCUUGCACCAUAUAAUGAGAGUAGCGCACUGGUGAGUAACACGUGGGAACGUACCUUUUGGUGGGGGACAACAUCUGGAAACGGAUGCUAAUACCGCAUAAGACCUGAGGGUGAAAGAUUUAUCGCCGAAAGAACGGCCCGCGGAAGAUUAGGCAGUUGGUGGGGUAAAGGCCUACCAAACCUACGAUCUA